CAUACACACAUAUAUACAUACAUACUUAUUUUUUUCUUUUUUUUAAUUGGGGUAGCCCCCAAAAUAUUGGGACAUAUAAAAAAAAAAAAAAAGAGAAUAAGUGCACUUGAGUAUAACAAUGGCUGGGCGAGGCCGGUAUAAAUGUCUAUUCUGCACAAGGUACAGACAAGUCUGGUGGGAUCCAUGCCUGGUUCAUUUUAAUAAACGUGAGCUUGUCCGUUGCACUUGUCUGUGAUAACCUCAUGCCGAUCGCACAUCCCUUUGACGGCGACAACGUAUUUGGAUGUCUGCCCUAUCAACUUUCAAUGCUAUUUUCCGCGCCUACCAUAGUGACCACGGGUAACGGGGAAUCAGGGUUCGUUUCCAGAGAGAGAGCCUGAGAAACGGCUACCACAUGCAAGAAAGGCAGCAGGCGUGCAAAUUAACCACUCCCGACGCAGGGAGGUA
This is a non-coding RNA of Pelobates cultripes (western spadefoot toad), 447 nucleotides long. NCBI's taxonomy places the organism in Eukaryota, Metazoa, Chordata, Amphibia, Anura, Pelobatidae. The record is from the annotation of a GenBank genome assembly.